GAUGAAGAACGUAGCGAAAUGCGAUAAGUAGUGUGAAUUGCAGAAUUCAGUGAAUCAUCGAAUCUUUGAAUGCACAUUGCGCCCCAUGGUAUUCCGUGGGGCAUGCCUGUUCGAGCGUCAUUUACCCCCUCAAGCUCCGCUUGGUGUUGGGCGUCUGUCCCGCUUCGCGCGCGGACUCGCCCCAAAGGUAUUGGCAGCGGUCGUGCCAGCUUCUCGCGCAGCACAUUGCGCUUCUCGAGGCACCGGUGGGCCCGCGUCCAUCAAGCUCACCCCCCCAGUUUGACCUCGGAUCAGGUAGGGAUACCCGCUGAACUUAAGCAUAUCAAUAAGCGGAGGA
This 337-nucleotide unclassified non-coding RNA is filed under the name soil metagenome. Its description in RNAcentral is "partial contains 5.8S ribosomal RNA, internal transcribed spacer 2, and large subunit ribosomal RNA". The stretch from base 1 to 120 matches the Rfam family "5.8S ribosomal RNA", at positions 35 to 154 of the family's 154-position model. The record is from RNAcentral.